Molecule: ribosomal RNA, 198 nt
Filed under: uncultured bacterium
Lineage: Bacteria
Description: partial 16S ribosomal RNA
Rfam family: Bacterial small subunit ribosomal RNA
Source: RNAcentral
ACGCUCGACACCUACUGGAGGCAGCAGUGGGGAAUAUUGCACAAUGGGGGAAACCCUGAUGCAGCGACGCCGCGUGGAGGAAGAAGGUCUUCGGAUUGUAAACUCCUGUUGUUGGGGAAAAAGAGGAUGGUACCCAACAAGGAAGUGACGGCUAACUACGUCNCANAGCCGCGGUAAUCUGAGCGGGCGUGGCAAGGC